GUAGAAUUAGGUUAAAUUUAAACUUUUAGUUUUCAAAACUAAGAAUUAUUUUCUA
This 55-nucleotide transfer RNA is filed under the name Mansonella perstans. RNAcentral describes it as "tRNA-Trp". Lineage: Eukaryota; Metazoa; Nematoda; Chromadorea; Rhabditida; Onchocercidae. The record is from RNAcentral.